Molecule: unclassified non-coding RNA, 378 nt
Filed under: uncultured delta proteobacterium
Lineage: Bacteria; Deltaproteobacteria
Description: contains 16S-23S intergenic spacer region
Source: RNAcentral
UCUGGCUUAUAGCCAAGCGGUCCCCUUAGAGUGCCCAACUUAAUGAUGGUAACUAAGGGCGAGGGUUGCGCUCGUUGCGGGACUUAACCCAACAUCUCACAACACGAGCUGACGACAGCCAUGCAGCACCUGUCACCGCGUCUCCGAAGAGAACCCCCACUUUCAUGGGGUAGCGCGGGAUGUCAAGUCCAGGUAAGGUUUUUCGCGUAGCAUCGAAUUAAACCACAUGCUCCACCGCUUGUGCGGGCCCCCGUCAAUUCCUUUGAGUUUUAAUCUUGCGACCGUACUUCCCAGGCGGGAUACUUAAUGCGUUAGCUACGACACCGAGACGAUUAGGCGUCCCGACGUCUAGUAUCCAUCGUUUAGGGCGUGGACUAC